CACUGCCUCAGAUGACCUCUCCUCCUAGGUCGGAACUAUGACACUACUUAGAUUCAGCUUCGGGUAGAGUUCUCUGACUGCGUCUCAUCCGUCCGCAUACGUGAUCUAAUAAGCCUCGUGGCUACCCUAGAGGAUUUCGUUCUUGAAGACUUCUGACCUCUUAUAAUCUUUGAUGGCCCAACUAAGAGCCUCUUGGGUAG
RNAcentral lists this long non-coding RNA (200 nucleotides) under Elaeis guineensis (African oil palm). RNAcentral describes it as "long non-coding RNA (EGUI_LNC023744)". The record is from RNAcentral. Lineage: Eukaryota; Viridiplantae; Streptophyta; Magnoliopsida; Arecales; Arecaceae.